Molecule: ribosomal RNA, 378 nt
Filed under: uncultured Serratia sp.
Lineage: Bacteria; Pseudomonadati; Pseudomonadota; Gammaproteobacteria; Enterobacterales; Yersiniaceae
Description: bacterial SSU rRNA
Rfam family: Bacterial small subunit ribosomal RNA
Source: RNAcentral
UAAUACGGAGGGUGCAAGCGUUAAUCGGAAUUACUGGGCGUAAAGCGCACGCAGGCGGUUUGUUAAGUCAGAUGUGAAAUCCCCGGGCUCAACCUGGGGAACUGCAUUUGAAACUGGCAAGCUAGAGUCUCGUAGAGGGGGGUAGAAGUUCCAGGUGUAGCGGUGAAAUGCGUAGAGAUCUGGAGGAAUACCGGUGGCGAAGGCGGCCCCCUGGACGAAGACUGACGCUCAGGUGCGAAAGCGUGGGGAGCAAACAGGAUUAGAUACCCUGGUAGUCCACGCUGUAAACGAUGUCGAUUUGGAGGUUGUGCCCUUGAGGCGUGGCUUCCGGAGCUAACGCGUUAAAUCGACCGUCCUGGGGAGUACGGCCGCAAGGUU